UCUCUCCUCUCUAGCUAUUAAUAGCUAGAUAAUAUAGCGACCUCAUUUUCAAAAAGUUGCCGUCUUGGCUCCAAACGGGCGUAUACCCUCUAUCACCUCUUAUACUCCCAUCCUCCAAAUCUUUUAAGCCUCAAACUCGGGAGUAGGGGGGCAUAUGUUGGGAGAUAAUACAUUGGCCACUACAAACUAAUCGAAGUUGGGGUCUCUGACCUUAUCCAAUGUGAUGUACCUUGAGUAUUGUCUGAAUUCCAUUGAUGACUAGUCUGGAAGUUUGCCGACCAGGCAUUCUCAUGAGAGAAAAAAAUUGAGAUAAUGCUAAGACUGUUUGGGGGAGGUAUCCU
Molecule: long non-coding RNA, 341 nt
Filed under: Elaeis guineensis (African oil palm)
Lineage: Eukaryota; Viridiplantae; Streptophyta; Magnoliopsida; Arecales; Arecaceae
Description: long non-coding RNA (EGUI_LNC044812)
Source: RNAcentral